AUGUAACAGUUACAUAGUUGAGUGAAAAAUUAUAAUGUUAACGUAACGUAAUUGUUACUUAGUAUCCACUGGAAUUAUAAUGUUAAUGUAACUGAUAUUUAGUAUCCACUGAACAAUAUAAUCUAAGAUAAGGCACUCGCGCAAGAAACAUGGGAAAACUACACUGGAGCCUGGAAGACAGCUGAUUGGAUAGCGCGGGCCCCUUCAUGGACUCUGCGAUGCGCUUUAUUGCCGUCAUUGACAUAGAGCUCUACGUCAUCUCACGCAUGCGCUGUAGCGUCGCAAUAUAUUGCACCUGACAGCACUGUUUCACGUAUGAUGCGCAUGGAGAGCAUAGAAGUCGUUCCGUUUCACUCCAUGUAUACUUCAUGCGCGCAUGAAGAUAGUCUCCCACCACCAUGCCGCGCUAUAGUGUGUAGCACAUGAGAACGCAUGAACUGCCUCAGCUCCCGAGGAGAUGCAAUCCAUGCGCGAUAGCCAUUUAGGCGGGAAAGAUUAUCAUCAGAAGUUUGUAAGAGUUUAUGCACACUUGAUUUAUUUUAUAAUUCUGUAAAGAUAAGCGGAAAAAAAUUAGAAGUUUAUGUCAAUGAUGAAUUAUGGACAUUUAACGUCUCCAACGCUGAAUUCGAAGCAGCAGCAACAACUGGCAAUGAAGAAGUAAUCAAGUUUUUAGUGGCUAAAGAAAGUGAAAGAAAAAGCAUAGCAGUAAUUGACGAAGAACAAGCUGAUAAAUCAAGACAGCCUAUAUCUGAAGCAAACGAAGCUAAGAAGGAUUCUUUCAUUUGGCCUAAUAAGGCAAUUCUUUUGCUUUUGGAGAUUUAUCGAAACAAAGAGUCUGAUUUUGUGUCAGGGCUGAUACGUCAUAAUAAAAUAUGGAUGGAUAUUGCCAGUGAAAUGAAUAAAGCAAAGUAUAAUGUCACUGCUAUACAAUGUCAAAAUAAAAUGUCAGGAUUGAAAAGAACAUACAAAAAUAUAUCUGACAGCAACAAUAAAUCAGGUAAUCAUGCAAGUUCUUGGGCCUUUUACUCUGUUAUGGAUUCAAUAUUUGGAAAAAAAGCCUGAUAGAGGCCAGGAUAGAACCUGCCAGGAUAGAACCUGCAUCAAUAGCUAGCAGUGAUGGUCCAUCUAGUCCAGGAUGCUCUUCAUCCUCAUCAGAUAAGUCGUUAGAAGCAAAUGAGCCGAGACCAAAAAAAGGCGGGUGGAAUCAAUUUUAGAAUCGUUCAUUGCAGAAAUGAAAGAAGAUAAACAGAAGGAGAAGGAGGAAAAACAACGGAGAAGAGAUGAAAGAAGAGAAGAAAAGGAAAAUAAGUGGAAGCAGAACAGUGAAACACGAAAAAGUAGAAUGGAGU
Molecule: long non-coding RNA, 1349 nt
Organism: Harpegnathos saltator (Jerdon's jumping ant)
Lineage: Eukaryota; Metazoa; Arthropoda; Insecta; Hymenoptera; Formicidae
Exons: 2
Source: RefSeq, a predicted model, not a curated record